GAGAGAGAUUGGAGAGAAAGAUAGAGAUAGAGAAUGCGCGGUGUUUUUCUUUCGUACAAUAUUAUACGAUCGAGUUACGAAUAGGGCUUAAAGGUUUGUAAGCGUAAUCGCAUAAACGAGGCAGAUCUGAGCGUGUGCGUUCAACGAAUGUAUAUCGUGAUACUUGCACGUGCACAUCACAUCAGUCAACGAUUCGUACAUGCACAACGUACAAACGCGAAACGACCAAGUUGUGGUCGAGAGGGACAUCAGCCUGUCUCCGUCAAUGAAAUAGUUAGAUCUGUCAGUGCCAACUAUCGCCUCGUUCUCGGUGGAGCCUUUUACAUUUUAUCUAUCGCGUUGCUCGAUCGAGUCAUUUUUUUCAAAACAGUUCUUAUACCGACCUCUUUACAUCCGUCGCGGUAGCUUCUAUUUGUCGAGAAUAAAGGGAGAAAGUGCCGCGAAUCUUGGCAAAAAACGAGUAUAUAAAGGAUAAAGGAACGAACGACUCUUGGCCUUCCACGAUAAACGAAAGAAACGGGAUCGAAAGCACGGUUCGCGGGUCACGGGAACCAAGUAUCAAAACGUAU
Molecule: long non-coding RNA, 569 nt
Filed under: Apis florea (little honeybee)
Lineage: Eukaryota; Metazoa; Arthropoda; Insecta; Hymenoptera; Apidae
Description: uncharacterized LOC105735920, transcript variant X1
Source: RNAcentral